Anas platyrhynchos (mallard) is the source of this 1670-nucleotide long non-coding RNA. RefSeq lists it as uncharacterized. The record is from RefSeq and is a predicted model, not a curated record. Lineage: Eukaryota; Metazoa; Chordata; Aves; Anseriformes; Anatidae.
CUCAAAGCAGGGUAGCUGACACCUCUUUUCAUUACAGUUGGAGCUAAUUUGGAACGGCCUGCAUCUUCCACAGAGUAUUCCUAUGGGCUCAAUAGCCUUUCAUUAGUUGUGAGGUUUAAUUAAUGUUGGAUAAAUCACAAGCUGACUUUUGUUUCCACAGUGAGUUGACUUAAAGCUUUCACCCCCCAGAACAUCACCAGUUGAGACACAACUGAGCUCUUGCAAGCUGAACGCUGUCUGAUGCCGGGGCUGGUGAUAAUGAGAAGAGCUGUCUAGAGAACAAGGAAAGGGGAUGAUGAAGUAUCAGCAUUUUGAUGCUCCACUCAGCUGACAGCGUUGGCUUUGAUGUUAAGACCAAGGUCACCUGCUGUAAGAUUGCCACACCAUGAUUGAUAUUGAUGCUUAUAUUAACACUGAAACUUUUCAGCACAGCAAUUUACUAUGUAUGCUCAACGGGUCACUAGCCCACACUAAUUUGUCUAUCAACAGGGUUUUAGGGCUUGUUAAUUUGGGACUUGAUUUGCUUCUUAAGCCAGUCAGUGGAUCAUGAGCCACAUAUGCUACUUGUAAUUCCUCACAAAGAACUCAGGCAGUUUGGGCAUCCUUGCAUCGUGUUGGCAGCUGCUCCAGAAGAAGAGCAGUGUACGUGUCUGACCAGCUGGGCACAGCGAUGAGGCUGCUGGGGCUCUGUCUGCAGCUUUUAGUAAUUAUCGAGUGACACCUGAUCCAAGUGCAAAGCAGGAGAAAAUUGACCUAGUUUUCAGUAAGCUUUACAAAAGAUGAUCGAUGAAUCGUUCUAGAGAAAAGACAUUACAUGACAGCUCAUCUCACUGAAGAGCCGCACGGCAGUGAGGAGAGUGAGCAGCCCCGCACUGCUUGCCAUCAUGACCUGCAGGAAGGGAAGCAGCAGGAGCCAGCAGUGGCCAGGGGUGCUGAGCCAUGGGGUGCAGGAUGAGGCAGAACACUGCCUGCCCUGAGCUGUCCUUCUCCCUGCUUACCAACCCAUCAUAGUCCCAGAAAGCUGAGAAGUCACUUCAGUAAUUUCAGCAGUUUUUAGAUGAGGAUCCCUUUUGUAACUCAGCCCUAUUUCCUCCAAAUGAAAUUUAAUUCAGGUCAGGGAGCUGGGCAAUACAGUUACUAGUGAUUUGCCAUAUUAUUUUUUUGAUGUCCGUGCUGUUAUUGCUUCAGCCAGGAGGAUCAACAACGCUCACAGAGAACAAAACUUUCAGUAAAUCCUACAGUCAUCUUCUCCAUGUGAGUAAAUACUCAAGACAAAUGAUAUCUGUAACAUUACCUGCAUCGUGCUUUUUUCAUUAAAAAGCCAGCUAAGUCUGCAGCAGAUGUAAUAGCAUGCUUCUAUAGCCUACAGCUUCAAGAUUUCUUUGUAUUAUGCAGACCAUUCAGAUGUAUUUCAUUUUUAAUGCAACUGUUUUACUAUUUGUAAUGAGCAAUCAUAGUAAUAAAAAAAGGAUAGAUGUGCAACAAAUGUCCCUGUAAGCCAUAAAACCUGAUUAUUUGCAGUAUUUAGGUGAAAGCUUAUUCUCCUUUGUUUGUAAAGUUCCAGAUAUGCUUGGAUGCGUUUGCAAUCAAUAAUACAACACUUCACUCCACAAACACAAUGACUGAUCUUCUCGAAGUUCGAGCCUCCUUUAUUUCUGAUGGGAAUGAAA